CAAUAGCGUAUAUUAAAGUUGUUGCAGUUAAAAAGCUCGUAGUUGGAUUUCGGGACGGGCCAGUUGGUCCGCCGCAAGGUGUGUUACUGACUGGUCUGUUCUUCUUCGCAAAGACUGCGUGUGCUCUUCGUUGAGUGUGCGUAGGAUUUACGACGUUUACUUUGAAAAAAUUAGAGUGCUCCAGGCAGGCCUAUGCUCGAAUACAUUAGCAUGGAAUAAUAAAAUAGGACGUGCGGUUCUAUUUUGUUGGUUUCUAGGACCGCCGUAAUGAUUAAUAGGGACAGUCGGGGGCAUCAGUAUUCAAUUGUCAGAGGUGAAAUUCUUGGAUUUAUUGAAGACUAACUACUGCGAAAGCAUUUGCCAAGGAUGUUUUCAUUAA
Molecule: ribosomal RNA, 379 nt
Filed under: uncultured eukaryote
Lineage: Eukaryota
Description: partial 18S ribosomal RNA
Rfam family: Eukaryotic small subunit ribosomal RNA
Source: RNAcentral